Molecule: non-coding RNA, 1579 nt
Organism: Haplochromis burtoni (Burton's mouthbrooder)
Lineage: Eukaryota; Metazoa; Chordata; Actinopteri; Cichliformes; Cichlidae
Source: the annotation of a RefSeq genome assembly
AUGACGGUGAUGGACAUUGUUCGUUUGUGUUUUUCAGGGACAGAGUACGAGCCAUCCUAUUUCAAAGUGGGAGAAGGCAACAAUACGGCGUGCCUGGCAACUGGGUUCAGCAGACACAAUGCAACAUCAUAUCAUUGGAAUUAUAGCGUGGAAUUCAGUGAGACAAAAGCUGUGGCAAUAUCACCAAACUUGGAUCUGUACAACCAGGUGAUUUUUCCAGGGAAGGAUCCAAGGAUUUGUGAAUAUCCAGGCAGUGGUGACAAGAAAUGUGUUGAUGUUUUGGAGCCAGAUCCAAAGGUGAACCUCAUGUCUCUGACCAUCCUGGCUCUCAGAGUGAUCUUCAUCAAGACCAUCAUCUUUAACAUCAUAAUGACUCUGCGGCUGUGGAUUAGUCAGUGUGAGUACAAAACAAAUGUAACGUGUUUGUGGCCUGGUGACUGGGGAGAUGUUUGACUGUUAUCUCCAUCACACACAGAGAGACAAACAUGUUCAAUGAGAAGAAAAAGUUUUAGUACACAGACCACUGACAGUUAAUAUGGAGCCUGCAUUUGGGAAACUUUUACCUGCAUUUGCCAAUUUUCCACAUUUGAGGACUGCAGAAUAACCCAGGAUCAGUCAAGCUGUGAUAUAAACUUAGAGCAUGUUAGAAAUGGAAAUCUGCUUUAUGUCCAUUGUGAGUUGUUGGAUAAUCAAAGCUCUGGAUCAGAGUUCAUAGUCCACAUCCUGUCACGUUGAGGCAAUAAAAUCAUUUUGGUAACGGUUUGGACUUCUUAAGCAAAAAAUAAUAAUUUCCAAUAUUUAAACAUGAAAAUUUGAUUAAAUAAAUUUGAUUAAAUAUUUUUAACUGACCAAAUCAAAUCCUAAAAAAUGAUAAAUACGGUCCAUGGAGCUGUGUUACCUCAGUGGAAAUGAUACAAGACGACACACGAAGAUCCAGUUUAUACAUCGACCUCGAGAUAGAAAAGUUGUUUUUUCCCUGAUCGUCUAAUCCAGGGAUGUGGAUAAAACCAAGGUGAAUGUCAAACUUCCUAAACUCUGUCUCAUGAACGUUGGGUGAUCUUAUAAAAUCUUUUGUUUUGCCUUUGAGAUUAUCAGAGUUAAAAAUUCCCUGUGGGAAGCAGCAGAGGUUAUUACAGUCCUCACCUGUGACUCGCGUGGUUCAGUAACAGUGUAUGGGUUUCUCUUUGAUACUCUUUAAAGCUCUGUCUGUAUGAAAAGCUGUUCUUUUAUUUCUUCUACAUACAAAACAGAAACUGUUACAUUUGAAAAUGAUUCUGUUGGUGUUGGUUCCUGAAAACUCUGUCACAGGACCAGGUUAAAGAAAGGAGAGCUACCUGACGUCUUAAUCAACAGUUACAUUUUAUUUUAAAACAGCAGGAAUAUUUUUGGUCAGUUUUCAUAUUUAGAUAAUAUGUAAAUGUGUCAUUUUUCUUGUAUCGACUUUGUCUCCUGGAUAGAAAAGAAACCGUGACAAUAACAAACGUCAGGUUUCAAACCAGCAGCAUGUGACGUUUGUUUUUACUGUUUGUAUUAAAGCAGCUUCAGUUCACAUGAAUCAAAUUUUUUUUUAUGUUUUGUC